UCAAGAAAAUCUAUCGAAGCCUUCUAGACUUGUGGUGUUUACAGACUGACAGACAUGACCUGCAUGGGGUCAAAUGACGAUGAAGGUCAUUGGAAAGUUGUUGAUCAACUUACGUCGAAGUAUCAAAUGCCUUUCAUUUGGCCGUUGCUGGUUCAUCUUUACCAAGAACCUCCAGUCUUGGGGAACACUUAAGGCAGAUUUAAAGACGACAAACAACGAUUUCUAGGACCAUGAGUAUCGGGACGCAGGCUGUCGUCAUUCUGGCGUGUGUCGUGAGCUUCAUGUGGUUCAUACCCAUGAUCAUACCCUUCAUUUAAGCGAUACAAGUAUAUUUGCGGAGUCAAUGACAUCGACGGAACAAGUCCACAACCCAACCUUUUGGCAUCUCUUCACCGUGUGUCCGAAUGGCUCGUCUGUUGUGCGGCGUUUACAACGGCGUCUACGAAAGAACAAACCACGCUUCAGCAGCUAGCAAGAUUAUCGCCACAAAUGCAAAGAUGUAAACAUUACGCUUACUACUAUUUUGCAGACUUUCCUAAAGACUUCCAGCGCGUUGAAUUAGCAAAAUCCUCUACCCCUUUAUUUGGUGUUACAGCAACGUCAAUUUGAAGCAUGUCAAAAAAUAUUCCAUACAUAUUUUAUAUGUUGAAAAGCUGUACCAAGUUACAACAAGCUAGCAAAGACAUAGAAAAUUACAUGUAUAUGAAUAUUUUUCAAUGCAUUUUCAUUUGACAUAUGUCAAUGUUGGACGAACUUAUGAUAGAUAACGAUUAACGUUACAAAGGGAGUCUAACGCAGGGAAACUGUUUUCGUGUUUUCUUUAGCUUUAUAACAUUUACAGCUGUUUAUUUUUCGCUUCAAUCAGGUCAGUCACACCUGUGACUCAUAUUAUCAAAAUGAUUAAAAAGAUUCAGGAUGUCAUCUGGUUAUAUCACUGUUGUCUUGCCCCAUACCUAUUCAAUCCAUAAUUGAAUGUACUCCAUAUAGUUAUCUAAUCCAUAAUUGAAAUAUUGACACAUGACUGUGACCUCAAUUAUAUAUAGUAGAAUAACGUCUCUUCACGCAUGAAAGAACUGAACUGUCUAGCACCAUAAGAACUUAACGUUAGUCAUCCAUUUUGCAAAACUCCCUUAGAUGUACGUUCUAUCUGUAUAGUUCCAUAGUAAUACCUCUUGUCGACAAUUUAUAAAGACGGAUUCACCACGACGUUGUAUAACCAGGGUUGAUGUGCCUCAAGUGAUUUGGAAACGGAAAAUGACAGAAUGGUUGAUAGAGCUUCAUUAAAACUUCAAUGUAAAAAUUUCAA
Molecule: long non-coding RNA, 1306 nt
Organism: Branchiostoma floridae (Florida lancelet)
Lineage: Eukaryota; Metazoa; Chordata; Leptocardii; Amphioxiformes; Branchiostomatidae
Exons: 2
Source: RefSeq, a predicted model, not a curated record